RNAcentral lists this ribosomal RNA (200 nucleotides) under uncultured eukaryote. Its description in RNAcentral is "partial 18S ribosomal RNA". It matches the Rfam family "Eukaryotic small subunit ribosomal RNA", at positions 588 to 791 of the family's 1831-position model. The record is from RNAcentral.
GCUCCAAUAGCGUAUAUUUAAGUUGUUGCAGUUAAAAAGCUCGUAGUUGGAUUUCGGGCGGGGCCUGCCGGUCCGCCUUUCGGUGUGCACUGGCAGGGUCCGCCUUGCUGCCGGGGACGGGUUCCUGGGCUUCACUGUCUGGGACUCGGAGUCGGCGUGGUUACUUUGAGUAAAUUAGAGUGUUCAAAGCAGGCCUGACG